GUGCCAGCAGCCGCGGUAAUACGUAGGUGGCAAGCGUUGUCCGGAUUUAUUGGGUUUAAAGGGUGCGUAGGCGGUUUAUUAAGUCAGUGGUGAAAGACGAUAGCUUAACUAUCGAGGUGCCAUUGAUACUGAUGAACUUGAGUGCACACGAGGUAAGCGGAAUGGACGGUGUAGCGGUGAAAUGCAUAGAUAUCGUCCAGAACACCGAUAGUGAAGACAGCUUACCAGAGUGCAACUGACGCUGAGGCACGAAAGUGUGGGGAUCAAACAGGAUUAGAAACCCCCGUAGUCC
This 292-nucleotide ribosomal RNA is filed under the name uncultured bacterium. Its description in RNAcentral is "partial 16S ribosomal RNA". It matches the Rfam family "Bacterial small subunit ribosomal RNA", at positions 505 to 796 of the family's 1533-position model. The record is from RNAcentral.